UCAAGCUAAAAAGAGCGCAGGGUGGAUGCCUUGGCACUAAGAGCCGAAGAAAGACGUGAUAAGCUGCGAAAAGCUGCGGGGAGAUGCAAAUAAUCCUUGAUCCGCAGAUGUCUGAAUGGGGAAACCCGGUACGAAGAACUCGUAUCAUCCAUACGCCAAUCCAUAACGUAUGGAGGGGAACCCGGUGAACUGAAACAUCUAAGUAGCCGGAGGAAGAGAAAGAAACAUCGAUUUUGUUAGUAGCGGCGAGCGAAAGCGAAAGAGGCCAAACCGGAGUGCGUGCACUCCGGGGUUCGGACCGCAUUUAAGAUUCAGUGAUUCUAGCAGAAAGGUUUGGGAAAGCCUGCCGGAGAGGGUGAAAGCCCCGUAAGCGAAAGGAGAACUGACUGAGCGGAAUCCAGAGUACAUCGAGACACGAGAAACCUUGAUGGAAUGAGCGGGGACCACCCCGUAAGCCUAAAUACUACUUAGUGACCGAUAGCGCAUAGUACUGUGAAGGAAAGGUGAAAAGGACCCCGGGAGGGGAGUGAAAGAGAACCUGAAACCCUGUGUUUACAAGCUGUCGAAGCACGAAAGUGCGACGGCGUACUUUUUGUAGAACGGUCCGGCGAGUUAUGAUGAGUGGUAAGGUUAAGGACUUAAGGUCCGGAGCCGAAGCGAAAGCGAGUGUUAAAAGCACGUUUGAAUCGCUUAUCAUAGACCCGAAACCGGGUGAUCUAUCCAUGUCCAGGUUGAAGCUGCCGUAAGAGGUAGUGGAGGACCGAACACACAUCCGUUGAAAAGGGUGGUGAUGAGGUGUGGAUAGGGGAGAAAUUCCAAUCGAACCCGGAGAUAGCUGGUUCUCCUCGAAAUAGCUUUAGGGCUAGCCUCGUGUUAGUCUGGUGGAGGUAGAGCACUGAAUUUCCUAGGGGGCGUCAAAGCCUACCGAAGAAUAUCAAACUGCGAAUGGCGGACAGAUGAUGCCAGGGAGUCAGACUGCACGAGAUAAGUUGGGUGGUCAAAAGGGAAAGAGCCCAGACCUACAGCUAAGGUCCCAAAGUGUGUGUUAAGUGGAAAAGGAUGUGGGAUUUCGAAGACAACUAGGAUGUUGGCUCAGAAGCAGCCAUACAUUCAAAGAGUGCGUAAUAGCUCACUAGUCGAGAGGUCCUGCGCCGAAAAUGUCCGGGGCUGAAACACGACACCGAAGCUUAGGAAUGUAGUAAUACAUUGGUAGAGGAGCAUUGUUAGCGCAGCGAAGCUGUACCGAUAAGGAGCAGUGGAGUGCUAAGAAGAGAGAAUGCCGGAAUGAGUAGCGAGAGGAAGGUGAGAAUCCUUCCGGCCGAAUAUCUAAGGUUUCCAGAGUAAAGCUGAUCUGCUCUGGGUAAGUCGGGGCCUAAGGCGAGGUCGAAAGACGUAGUCGAUGGAUAACAGGUGGAGAUUCCUGUACUAUGUGUACCCAGAACUGUGGGGACGCAUGUGGAGAGCAUGAGCCGGGAAAGAGAAGACCGGUACAAGCGGGGUAGGAGUAAGGACAGCAAAUCUUCCUUACAAUCCGAAGACGUAAUGUGGACCGAACCAAAGUAGGGAAGCGUGUGAGCCAUGUGCCAAGAAAAGCCGCUAUUGUGAUACACAUACCCGUACCGUAAACCGACACAGGUGGAUGAGGAGAGAAUCCUAAGGCCGACGGAAGAAGCAUUGUUAAGGAACUCGGCAAAAUGACCCCGUAACUUCGGGAGAAGGGGUGCCCUGUGAAAGCAGGGCCGCAGAGAAUAGGCUCAAGCAACUGUUUAGCAAAAACACAGGUCUAUGCGAAACCGAAAGGUGAGGUAUAUGGGCUGACGCCUGCCCGGUGCUGGAAGGUUAAGAGGAGAGGUUAGCGCAAGCGAAGCUUUGAAUUUAAGCCCCAGUAAACGGCGGCCGUAACUAUAACGGUCCUAAGGUAGCGAAAUUCCUUGUC
RNAcentral lists this ribosomal RNA (1936 nucleotides) under human gut metagenome. RNAcentral's name for it is "bacterial LSU rRNA". It matches the Rfam family "Bacterial large subunit ribosomal RNA", at positions 3 to 1973 of the family's 2925-position model. The record is from RNAcentral.